This 229-nucleotide unclassified non-coding RNA is filed under the name plant metagenome. Its description in RNAcentral is "partial contains small subunit ribosomal RNA, internal transcribed spacer 1, and 5.8S ribosomal RNA". The record is from RNAcentral.
UCUCCGUAGGUGAACCUGCGGAGGGAUCAUUACAGAGUCCAUGCCCUACCGGGUAGAUCUCCCACCCUAUGUUAUUAUUACUUUGUUGCUUUGGCGGGCCGUUAGGCUCCGGCCCGACUACCGGCCCCGGCUGGUAAGCGCCCGCCAGAGGACCCAAAACCCUGAAUAUUAGUGUCGUCCGAGUACUAUAUAAUAGUUAAAACUUUCAACAACGGAUCUCUUGGUUCUG